RNAcentral lists this transfer RNA (113 nucleotides) under Chloroflexota bacterium. Its description in RNAcentral is "Chloroflexi bacterium tRNA-Pro". The record is from RNAcentral. Lineage: Bacteria; Bacillati; Chloroflexota.
GCGGGGGUCGGAGCGACGACCCCCAGCCGGGACUAUCCCCACUUGACUUCCCGCAGCCGCUUCUCGGUCACGGCCGGCCGUCAGGGGCGCGGGUUCGAAUCCCGUCUCCCGCG